UUUCACUCAUGAUAGCUUGAAUGUAAUGAAGCUGUUAUAUUCGGUAAAGCGAUUGACUGGAGGAAUUGUUGGACGAAACGUGUUCAAUCGAGUGUGACUGUUUGCUUGAAUGAAGCAUAGACAUUGAAUGUGUGCUCCAAUUGGGCCAUUUUUGGUAAGCGGAAAUGGCGCGCUGUGAGAUGAACUA
Molecule: non-coding RNA, 187 nt
Filed under: Onchocerca ochengi
Lineage: Eukaryota; Metazoa; Nematoda; Chromadorea; Rhabditida; Onchocercidae
Description: Eukaryotic large subunit ribosomal RNA
Rfam family: Eukaryotic large subunit ribosomal RNA
Source: Rfam by way of RNAcentral